CUUCAGGUGGAAUGGAUAAAAUGGAUAAUCCUUCCCAACUCCAAGCACUCUGUCCCAGGCCUUUCCCACUGACAUGAGGGAGUUGCCAUGUGAAGAGGAGACAAGUGGCUCCUGCUUGACAGAAGCAGAAGAGACAUUGACUGCCUGGGCUCUGACCUGCUGCAGGAUUUUCUCCAUGGAUAUGAGGUGAGCGAUUCGAGGCCACUCUGGGCCACGAUGCCAGGAAGGAUUUGGGCUUGGAGCAGACCUGAAGGAUGUCGUUUUCCCUUUUGGAUGGCCAUAGAAACCCAGCCAGAUGAGAGGCAGAGAGAACUCAUUCUGAAACCUCUGGACCUGCUGUGAAAUGGGAUCAUCGCCCACCACAGAGCUCCGGCACUCACGUGCGUUCCAGCAGUCCUCAUCCCAGAUCCUCAUCCCAGAUCCUCAUCCCAGAUCCUCAUCCCAGACCCUCAUCCCA
Molecule: long non-coding RNA, 457 nt
Organism: Catharus ustulatus (Swainson's thrush)
Lineage: Eukaryota; Metazoa; Chordata; Aves; Passeriformes; Turdidae
Exons: 3
Source: RefSeq, a predicted model, not a curated record